CACAAAAGCUUGGUCCUGGCUUUUCUGUCAGCUAUAGCUAAACUUAUACAUGCAAGUAUCCGCACCCCUGUGAGAAUGCCCCCCCCCCCACUUCCUGCCCGGAAGUAAGGAGCUGGUAUCAGGCACGGUUUAUAAACCAGCCCAUGACACCUUGCUUAGCCACGCCCCCAAGGGAUUUCAGCAGUGAUAAACAUUAAGCCAUGAGCGAAAGCUUGACUUAGUUAAAGCUUAGAGGGCCGGUCAACCUCGUGCCAGCCACCGCGGUUAUACGAGAGGCCCAAGUUGACAGACCACGGCGUAAAGAGUGGUCAGGGAAACUUUUAAACUAAAGCCGAACAUCCUCACAGCAGUCCAAAGCUUCCGAGUUAAGAAGUCCAACCACGAAAGUAGCUUUAAACAACCUGACUCCACGAAAGCUGAGGCACAAACUGGGAUUAGAUACCCCACUAUGCUCAGCCCUAAAACUUGAUAGGCCCUUACAACCCCUAUCCGCCCGGGGACUACGAGCAUUAGCUUGAAACCCAAAGGACUUGGCGGUGCUUUAUAUCCGUCUAGAGGAGCCUGUCCUGUAACCGAUAACCCCCGUUAAACCUCACCCCCUCUUGUUUAUUCAGCCUAUAUACCGCCGUCGUCAGCUUACCCCGUGAGGGAUCAGAAGUGAGCACAAUUGGCAUAAGCCCAAAACGUCAGGUCGAGGUGUAGCAUAUGAGGGGGGAAGAGAUGGGCUACAUUUCCUGGCUCAGGAAAUACGAACAAUGAUUUGAAAUAAACAUUAGAAGGUGGAUUUAGCAGUAAGUAGAUAAGCAGAGAGUUCUACUGAAGAAUCAACGGCACUAAAGUAUGCACACAUCGCCCGUCACUCUCCCCGAGCCCCACAAAAAGAAAUGUACUUAAAAAACUAUACUUGCAAAGGGGAGGCA
This 920-nucleotide non-coding RNA is filed under the name Neopomacentrus taeniurus (freshwater demoiselle). RNAcentral describes it as "partial 12S ribosomal RNA". It matches the Rfam family "Bacterial small subunit ribosomal RNA". Lineage: Eukaryota; Metazoa; Chordata; Actinopteri; Pomacentridae. The record is from RNAcentral.